This 492-nucleotide ribosomal RNA is filed under the name uncultured bacterium. RNAcentral's name for it is "partial 16S ribosomal RNA". It matches the Rfam family "Bacterial small subunit ribosomal RNA", at positions 29 to 507 of the family's 1533-position model. The record is from RNAcentral.
AGUGAACGCUGGCGGUAGGCCUAACACAUGCAAGUCGAACGGCAGCACAGUAAGAGCUUGCUCUUACGGGUGGCGAGUGGCGGACGGGUGAGGAAUACAUCGGAAUCUACUUUUUCGUGGGGGAUAACGUAGGGAAACUUACGCUAAUACCGCAUACGACCUACGGGUGAAAGCAGGAGAUCUUCGGACCUUGCGCGAUUGAAUGAGCCGAUGUCGGAUUAGCUAGUUGGCGGGGUAAAGGCCCACCAAGGCGACGAUCCGUAGCUGGUCUGAGAGGAUGAUCAGCCACACUGGAACUGAGACACGGUCCAGACUCCUACGGGAGGCAGCAGUGGGGAAUAUUGGACAAUGGGCGCAAGCCUGAUCCAGCCAUACCGCGUGGGUGAAGAAGGCCUUCGGGUUGUAAAGCGCUUUUGUUGGGAAAGAAAAGCAGCAGGUUAAUACCCCGCUGUUCUGACGGUACCCAAAGAAUAAGCACCGGCUAACUUCGUG